UAGGGAAUCUUCACAAUGGGCGCAAGCCUGAUGGAGCAACACCGCGUGAGUGAAGAAGGGUUUCGGCUCGUAAAGCUCUGUUGUUAAAGAAGAACGUGGGUAAGAGUAACUGUUUACCCAGUGACGGUAUUUAACCAGAAAGCCACGGCUAACUACGUGCCAG
This 163-nucleotide ribosomal RNA is filed under the name uncultured bacterium. Its description in RNAcentral is "partial 16S ribosomal RNA". It matches the Rfam family "Bacterial small subunit ribosomal RNA", at positions 355 to 511 of the family's 1533-position model. The record is from RNAcentral.